GCAAACUUGGUCAUUUAGAGGAAGUAAAAGUCGUAACAAGGUUUCCGUAGGUGAACCUGCGGAAGGAUCAUUGCCAAGGUAAAAUCCAAAAAACCUGCUCCGGCGCUGCGGUUCCGUGGCCCCUUGGACGGUCGAGCCCUGGUGUGUGGUGGUGGGCCUUGCUCUCGCCACUUCCUUCUCCUCCGUCCUGUGGGCCUGCUGACCGCUUCGCCGUAUGGCCUUCUUUUAUCUGAGCGAUUCCGGUCGCUCAGGUAAAAAGGCCGUCUGACCCAUGCCUAUCACGUCUUUUUUUUCUUUUCUCUCCGUUUCACGGUUGUGGAAGGAAAUAAAAGCAAAGUUUGCCUGAACUUUCAAUUAUUUUUUUUUUGCUUUUGCAAAUAAUACAAAACAACUUUCAACAACGGAUCUCUUGGCUCUCGCAUCGAUGAAGAACGCAGC
RNAcentral lists this unclassified non-coding RNA (438 nucleotides) under uncultured fungus. Its description in RNAcentral is "partial contains small subunit ribosomal RNA, internal transcribed spacer 1, and 5.8S ribosomal RNA". The stretch from base 1 to 73 matches the Rfam family "Eukaryotic small subunit ribosomal RNA", at positions 1759 to 1831 of the family's 1831-position model. Lineage: Eukaryota; Fungi. The record is from RNAcentral.